RNAcentral lists this small nuclear RNA (107 nucleotides) under Homo sapiens (human). RNAcentral's name for it is "U2 spliceosomal RNA". It matches the Rfam family "U2 spliceosomal RNA". Rfam says of the family: U2 is a small nuclear RNA (snRNA) component of the spliceosome (involved in pre-mRNA splicing). Complementary binding between U2 snRNA (in an area lying towards the 5' end but 3' to hairpin I) and the branchpoint sequence (BPS) of the intron results the bulging out of an unpaired adenosine, on the BPS, which initiates a nucleophilic attack at the intronic 5' splice site, thus starting the first of two transesterification reactions that mediate splicing. Lineage: Eukaryota; Metazoa; Chordata; Mammalia; Primates; Hominidae. The record is from Rfam by way of RNAcentral.
AUCGCUUCUUGGCCUUUUGGCUAAGAUCAAGUGUAUUAUUAUUAUAGAAUGGGUUCUCAGAUAAAGAAAAAACUAAGAAUUUUCUCAGAUUUUUGGGAGUAUUUCAU